Molecule: ribosomal RNA, 253 nt
Filed under: uncultured bacterium
Lineage: Bacteria
Description: partial 16S ribosomal RNA
Rfam family: Bacterial small subunit ribosomal RNA
Source: RNAcentral
UACGUAGGGUGCGAGCGUUGUCCGGAAUUACUGGGCGUAAAGAGCUCGUAGGUGGUUUGUCGCGUUGUUCGUGAAAACUCACAACUCAAUUGUGGGCGUGCGGGCGAUACGGGCAGACUGGAGUACUGCAGGGGAGACUGGAAUUCCUGGUGUAGCGGUGGAAUGCGCAGAUAUCAGGAGGAACACCGGUGGCGAAGGCGGGUCUCUGGACAGAGUCUGACGCUGAGGCGCGAAAGCUAGGGGAGCAAACAGG